RNAcentral lists this ribosomal RNA (497 nucleotides) under uncultured bacterium. Its description in RNAcentral is "partial 16S ribosomal RNA". It matches the Rfam family "Bacterial small subunit ribosomal RNA", at positions 28 to 507 of the family's 1533-position model. The record is from RNAcentral.
GAUGAACGCUGGCGGCGUGCCUAAUACAUGCAAGUCGAGCGAACAGAUGAGGAGCUUGCUCCUCUGACGUUAGCGGCGGACGGGUGAGUAACACGUAGAUAACCUACCUAUAAGACUGGGAUAACUUCGGGAAACCGGAGCUAAUACCGGAUAAUAUAUUGAACCGCAUGGUUCAAUAGUGAAAGACGGUUUUGCUGUCACUUAUAGAUGGAUCUGCGCCGUAUUAGCUAGUUGGUAAGGUAACGGCUUACCAAGGCAACGAUGCGUAGCCGACCUGAGAGGGUGAUCGGCCACACUGGAACUGAGACACGGUCCAGACUCCUACGGGAGGCAGCAGUAGGGAAUCUUCCGCAAUGGGCGAAAGCCUGACGGAGCAACGCCGCGUGAGUGAUGAAGGUCUUCGGAUCGUAAAACUCUGUUAUUAGGGAAGAACAAACGUGUAAGUAACUGUGCACGUCUUGACGGUACCUAAUCAGAAAGCCACGGCUAACUACGUG